UGAACUUCACCUGCACAGGUGAGAUGGGGACAGGUGAGACAGGUGACACCUGGGACAGGUGAGGGGACACAGGGACAGGUGAGGGGACACAGGGACAGGUGAGGGGACAGGUGAGGGGCAGUGGCCACGCCCGGCUUGCUCUUCAUGAACUUCACCUGUGCAGGUGAGGGACAGGUGAGACAGGUGACACCUGGGACAGGUGAGGGGACAGCUGGGACAGCUAAAGGACACUGGGACAGGUGAGGAGCAGUGAGAAAGGU
Molecule: long non-coding RNA, 260 nt
Organism: Haemorhous mexicanus (house finch)
Lineage: Eukaryota; Metazoa; Chordata; Aves; Passeriformes; Fringillidae
Exons: 3
Source: RefSeq, a predicted model, not a curated record